This is a non-coding RNA of Theobroma cacao (cacao), 364 nucleotides long. Lineage: Eukaryota; Viridiplantae; Streptophyta; Magnoliopsida; Malvales; Malvaceae. The record is from RefSeq and is a predicted model, not a curated record.
GCCAUUUUCAUCCUUCACCAAAAAAAAAUCAAGAUUUUUCAUUUUCUUUCCCUUGUUUUCUUUUCCUUUCUUUUCUUUUCUUACUUCUUCCUUCCCCUAACUUCUUGGGCACCAAAACCACAGCUUCUAACCUCAUUUUUUAGCACAUCUAAACCCUAGGAGAGAGAAAGAAAAAUCUCUCUUUCUUUUCUUCCUUUUCUAUUUUUACUCCACUUUCAUCAAUACUUGAAUUUCGGCUACAAAUCUUCAUUUCAAAGCCAAUAGGUUUUGUUGAUCUUCAUGCCUUCAAGCACCAAGGUUUUAAUGGUAUUUUGGGACUACCUGGAUUAAGAUCUUGUGGGUGCUAGUUUCGUUAGGCGACAUU